AAAACUAGGCAUAUGCUCUUGAUUUCUAUCGUUGGCAAUUUGUGGGCCCUGGAUAAGUGUUUGCUAUUUGCAUGUGUCUGGGGAAGCACCCUAGGAUACUAAGGUAAGACCUAAAAUGGCGAUUUGAAGAAUGAUGUGAGAUUGAGGUGGAUACUUGUGUAAGUGGUGAUGAGUAAUGUCUUUGUCUGCAAAUAGAUGAUUAGCUGCAACUGAGAUUCCUGUUUUCAAUAUAGCUCAUGAGAAGGCCUAUUAAAAUAUCAAUAGACUGGUUCCAUUUAUAUAGCAUUGUGGCAAAUAUAAUUGGUGAGUUUCUCAUGUUGCCACGUUCCUCCUCCCCGUGACUUAUUUAUGAGUGUUACAUAGUAAUGAAAAAGAUAGGCUGUAAUGAACUACUGCUAGGCAGAACAUUUUCCAAUGUUGCUAAGAGUUUCUUUUCUUUCCAACAAAAUUGUUUCUUUUUCUCUCCCCAUAAUCAUUAGUCUGUGUUUUGAUGAUAAAACAGAAUUAGAAAGUUGGCUAUUCAUAAUUAAUACCUGUUUACUAUACGAAAUGGUAUUUUUGCUAGAGAAAAUAAUGGUAGGAAACAGUACAAGGAGCGCUUCGGUUCUGUGACUCUCAAUUAGCAAAGCCACAUUAGUUACCUGCGGUAGGAGUGUGGUAUCUUAAAUAGCUGUAAUGCGAUAUGGGACACCAUGACAGAGUGUAUCUGAAUGACAUUUCCCGAGAUACUCCACACAUUGACUGCUUUUCUUGUUUUUUACUUUUUGAAAUAAAUAAAAGAUGGAAACAAAAUUGUAAUAAAUUUUCUGAAACAAUAAUUAUACUAGCUGCAAAUUUGUAAAGCCAAACCAAACAAACAGUACAGUUGUCCAAUUUGGCAAUCCCCAAUCCAAAAAAGGACUGAUAUUAUCAUUUUGGAACAUUGACUAUUCAUGGUUUCUACCUUGAAAGGAGUCCAAAUAUUUUUGAUGAAAAUCAGAGAUAAUAUGUGGCUUGUCUCAAGAAUGAUAGGUUUGUAUCUGUUCCUAGAAAUCAUUAAGCGUCAUCUUCUCUCUGCUAUAUAACCCCAUGUUGUGCUGGAGCCAUAGAAUUUUCUUCCUGCUACUUUUUAUUUGUGGUAUUUAUGUGUUUUAUUGAUUAUGUGACAUAAUAAAACAUAGCAAGUUGGAGCCGUAUGUGCUAUAUAUUUUGUUCAACAGCGAUGCAGAAUGUUAGGGCUCCACUCUCCACUCGAAACAUCUUGCUGGGAUAUAAAUAGAUUUAUAAUGACUACUAGGCUCUGUGCCUGCAAAAUACCCUGGUAAGUAGCUCAUUAUAGAGCUAACAUCAUUAAUAAAAUAGCUGAAAAAUUUCACAAGUACAGGAAUAUCUUUUACAUCAGUAGCUGUAAGGAAAAUACCUAGCGUAUGCAUAAUUUGAGACUCAUUUUAAAGCUAUAAUUUAUCAUCAUUAUCUACAUAUUAUAAUGGCAAAACAGGUUUAAUUGCUUUUGACUGGACUGGCAUCAUGAUGAGGAGAAAAGUUAGUAGCAGAUGGCCCCACUGUCAAAACUGCAGUCUCUUAGCCCAAAAUAAAGUAACAGACUGAAGAGAACGUUUCUGGUUUCUAGCUCUAUCUUAUCUUGAUAAGUAUGAAUUAGCAUUUUCUGGUAUUAUAAUUGUCUAGAGAAAAGUGGAAAUAGUAAUUAUUUACAGAAGACUAAAAUAGCUGUGAAAUUCAACUUUAGCAGGUUUAAAUUGUCUAACAUUUUUGGAUUAACAGAAAUAUUUACUUUUGGUAUGACUUAGUGAGUUAAAAAAAUAUUUCCAUUUUAGCUUUACAAUAUUAAAUUGCUGGCAUGUGAAC
This 1845-nucleotide long non-coding RNA is filed under the name Homo sapiens (human). Its description in RNAcentral is "HSALNT0369968". The record is from RNAcentral. Lineage: Eukaryota; Metazoa; Chordata; Mammalia; Primates; Hominidae.